This 831-nucleotide ribosomal RNA is filed under the name Xanthoriicola physciae. RNAcentral's name for it is "LSU rRNA". It matches the Rfam family "Eukaryotic large subunit ribosomal RNA", at positions 74 to 931 of the family's 3401-position model. Lineage: Eukaryota; Fungi; Ascomycota; Dothideomycetes; Mycosphaerellales; Teratosphaeriaceae. The record is from RNAcentral.
AUUGCCUCAGUAACGGCGAGUGAAGCGGCAACAGCUCAAAUUUGAAAUCGGGCGCCCGCCCGAGUUGUAAUUUGGAGAGGAUGCUUCUGGGCAGCGGCCGGUUCAAGUCCCUUGGAACAGGGCGUCAGAGAGGGUGAGAAUCCCGUAGGCGACCGGCUGGCACCCGUCACGUAGCUCCUUCGACGAGUCGAGUUGUUUGGGAAUGCAGCUCUAAAUGGGUGGUAAAUUCCAUCUAAAGCUAAAUACCGGCCAGAGACCGAUAGCGCACAAGUAGAGUGAUCGAAAGAUGAAAAGCACUUUGGAAAGAGAGUUAAACAGCACGUGAAAUUGUUGAAAGGGAAGCGCAUGCUACCAGACUCGACGGCGGAAGCUCCGCCGGUCUUCUGACCACGGCCGACUCGCCGCCGUCGGGCCAGCAUCGCGUGGGCGCGCCGGACAAAGGCGCGGGGAAUGUGGCCCCCCUCUGGGGGGGUGUUAUAGCCCCGCGUGCGAUGCGGCGCCGCCCGCGCGAGGUCCGCGCUUCGGCUAGGAUGCUGGCGUAAUGGUCGCAUGCGGCCCGUCUUGAAACACGGACCAAGGAGUCUAACAUCUGUGCGAGUGUUCGGGUGUCAAACCCCUACGCGGAAUGAAAGUGAACGGAGGUGGGAGCUUCGGCGCACCAUCGACCGAUCCUGAUGUCCUCGGAUGGAUUUGAGUAAGAGCAUAGCUGUUGGGACCCGAAAGAUGGUGAACUAUGCCUGAAUAGGGUGAAGCCAGAGGAAACUCUGGUGGAGGCUCGCAGCGGUUCUGACGUGCAAAUCGAUCGUCAAAUUUGGGUAUAGGGGCAAAGAC